This 406-nucleotide ribosomal RNA is filed under the name uncultured bacterium. RNAcentral's name for it is "bacterial SSU rRNA". It matches the Rfam family "Bacterial small subunit ribosomal RNA", at positions 355 to 776 of the family's 1533-position model. The record is from RNAcentral.
CGAGGAAUCUUGGUCAAUGGGCGCAAGCCUGAACCAGCGACGCCGCGUGGAGGAUGAAGGCCCUCGGGUUGUAAACUCCUUUUGGGUGGGAAGAAGCUCUGACGGUACCACCCGAAUAAGCCCCGGCUAACUACGUGCCAGCAGCCGCGGUAAUACGUAGGGGGCGAGCGUUGUCCGGAUUUAUUGGGCGUAAAGCGCGCGCAGGCGGUUCGUUCAGUCCGUUGUGAAAGCUCCUGGCUCAACUGGGAGAGGUCUUCGGAUACUGGCGGACUCGAGGGAGGCAGAGGAAGGUGGAAUUCCGGGUGUAGUGGUGAAAUGCGUAGAGAUCCGGAGGAACACCAGUGGCGAAGGCGGCCUUCUGGGCCUUUCCUGACGCUGAGGCGCGAAAGCGUGGGGAGCGAACCGG